Perognathus longimembris pacificus (Pacific pocket mouse) is the source of this 151-nucleotide long non-coding RNA. RefSeq lists it as uncharacterized. The transcript has 3 exons. Lineage: Eukaryota; Metazoa; Chordata; Mammalia; Rodentia; Heteromyidae. The record is from RefSeq and is a predicted model, not a curated record.
CCGCCGGAGACGGUCGUAUACAUUCCACAUAGACAUGCCGAGAGUUCUUUGGGUCUGAAGAAAAAUGCUUGAGCAGGCACUGGGGGCUCCCUGUAAUCCUAACUACUCGGGAGGCGGAGAUCUGAGGAUCGAAAACCAAAGCAGAAAACCU